RNAcentral lists this long non-coding RNA (6365 nucleotides) under Homo sapiens (human). Its description in RNAcentral is "HSALNT0082308". Lineage: Eukaryota; Metazoa; Chordata; Mammalia; Primates; Hominidae. The record is from RNAcentral.
UUCUGUUUGUGAUAUUUUAUGAUUGAAAUUUCCUGAAUUAAGUUGAUCUGUGUUAUCUUAUAUUUGUCAGAAAGUUUAAUAAUCUUUAAUGUCUCUGUUAUUAUUCCAGGAAAAGAUAGAAUUGUAAUAGUCUGACAAUGACAAGUAAUUGCUUAGACUAUUUCUUUUUUCUUGGCUUAGGGAUACUAAAUUUGUAAUAUAUUAAGCUUACCAUCACAAUAAGAAAUAUUCUUCUUUCUGACUAAAACAACCAGAAUUUAAUAUUUUUGUAUUACUUGAUGAGAAAAAUCCAUUUGCAGUUGAGCUAAAAACAAAAGAAAACAAACAACAGCAAUAAGAAAAACAAAGGAAACACUGUGUUGUUUUUCUGUUCCACGGAGGUGAAAGAGAACAAGACUCAUUAUACUCUCACUUUUCCUAGAUUGAAAAUUUCUCUUAAAAUUGGGUUUGGGAUCUAAUUCCAUAAUUCUUUUUUUUUUUUUUUUGUCUUAUAGUAAAGAAUAUAGCUGCCAUUUUUAUUUUGCAGGUGACAACCGAACCUUAAACUAUUUCUACCAAUGCUACCAGUAAAUCUAAUGAGUUAGCAUUAGCUUUUCAUAAAGUCAUAACUUUGCUCUGGUGAAUACAUUUUCAGUUGAACUGUACUCAAGAAAAAUUCCAUCCCAGCACUUUACUUAAAAGAUUGUUUAAUGUUUUGUUUUGUUUUUGGAUUAGCUGUAAUUGCAGAAAAGAAGUCCUCAGAGCGCAGAGUGAAAGUCUUUACAGCUGCGAUUGUCUCCCCAGUGGUAAUGACAGGUUUAAUUUAAAACUGCAUCCUCUUCUCACUCAGAUCAUCUUAAGACCAACGACUCAGAAUUGCUCUUUAGAGUUAGGAGUUGGCCAUGGUAUCAAGUGCCGAUAACGUGGUCUCCACAGGAAUUCAGAUUCUGAUUUGGGCCUCGCUGUGUUCUAAUCAAGGAACCUAAUGAACUACACUCAUGGUAAGUUCAUCUAGUCGGAAGCCUUGGACUGUUCCCAGACUCAGAGUCAAAUGUUUUAAGUGGUAAUCAAGUUUCCCUUGUUAUUGCUCAUAUUUAAUCAUCAGAAAAUUCUGUGUAUUUAUGUCGAUAUUUAAAGAAGAAUCUUUGAUUCCAUGUGCAUGCUAAAUGCGAAUUGGCUGUAUAGAGUUAUGCCGUUUGACCUUCUUCAACACACGGUGCGGAGUGCAACACUUCCCUGCAGUGCUUCUCUUCUGUGACUUUUUUUUUAACACUUAAAUUUGCAUUUUUGUUCAAGGUGAUGUGAAGAAGUUCAAUGCUACUAGCACAUACAAUUGAUUCAGUACUUUAAGAGAUAAAAAUUAUUUUGAUCAGUCUAUUCAACAACAAUUUAUUAAGAAGCUAUUUUGUGCCAAGCACUGUGCCAGAUACUAAAAAAUAGUGAACGUGGAAAUGGAAAAAAGAAGAAGAUUGAAACUGAUCUAAUAGUCCUACCAACAGUUGCUUUUUAGAUGAACAUAGAAAUUAACCCUCCUGGUCUUAAAGUUUGAAACUUACAUGUUUUAUCUGAGUUUCUUCCUCAGGAAAGGAUCCCCAGGGCUCUCAAAAAAAAAGUGUCAAAGAACUGAAACUCACCAGAUCAUGACAUCCAGACAAAGAGAUGCCGGACCCCUCAUCCACCAUGAUUACUUCCUUACCCCUCCUGCGUUUCUGUUUUCUCACACAUUGCUACAUUUUUCUCCCUGCUAUAUAAAUCUCCUAAUUUUAGCCCAUCAGGGAGAUGGAUUUGAGACUGAGCUCCUGUCUCCUGGGCUGCAGCACCUGGUUAAAGCCUUCUUCCUUGGCAAUACUUGUUGUUUCAGUGAUUGGCUUUCUGUGCAAUGAGCAGCAGGACCUAGACUGAACCCCUGGUGUUUCAGUAACAAGAUUGCUGAGGAAAAAGAAAUGAUAUUAUACACAACGUAUAUGUUUAUUGAUUGAUCUUGUUUAUAAGUUGUAGAUCUGAUAAAUCUGAACUAUAAAAAUAGGGAAUCAAUAAAUAGAUUCAUACAUUUAUUGGUUUUAUUAGUUGACACUUGACAAUAAAGUAUGGAAUUUUCCUCCUCUUUUUUGGUUCAUCAAGGCUAUUCUAUAAGGUGGGUUGAAACUCCAAGAAGGUUCAAAAUAAUCCUUCCCUUACACCCCUACAAGAAACUUCAGUUCAUGAACUUAACACCAGUAUGUAUAUUUUUCCAGAGGGUUGGGAAUGAUCUUGAUAGAGAUCAAUAGAAAAGGAAAUUGUGGACUUAUUGGGAAUAGAAAUAGGAAGUAUAGCAGAUUUCAAAAUAGAAAUUGAAGUUUUUGCAUUAAGGACUUGUAAGAGAUUGCUACAAGCAAAACAGACAAAAAUCCCAGCUCUUAAAGUUUUCACAUUUAUGGUUAUAGAUUACAAACUGUCUUUGCAAUGAGACAGGGUGUGGUUUUGCAAACUGGCAGCUAUGCAACAAUAUAAUGGAAAAAUAAUGCAAAACUUUUGCAGGGUAAAAAGGUGACUACUAUAAAGGAUGCAAUAUUUCAUGAAAUCAAUAAAAGUAAUAUUAAAGAACUGCACAUUUCAAAACAAACUCAGUGACAAAUGGAAGUUUAUCAGUCUAGACCAGCUAAUAACUGAAGAAAAGAGAAAAAAAACAGCACUGAUGAAUAAUAGCUAAGUUAAAUAGAAUGGCUCCACCACCAAAGAAUUCAGAAAGAUCAUGGAAAAUUGUUGAAACCUUGACAUUCUUUACAAAAAUUUACAAAUGUUAUUUAAAAUAUCAAACAUAAAGUAAGAAAUUCUAUACCUGUAUACUAUCAGAAAAAAAUAUAUGCCCAAUUCAACCCCUAACAUCUUAUUAAUUUUUUUCCUUAGGAUGAAUCACAAUUAUAACCUUAUUAUUAUUAAAAGUAAAAUAAACUUAUUUUAUAACGUACGUUUUAUUGAGAAAAUCUUAGGAAAGCCUCUCCCAUCCCUUACCCCAUUAUUUACUGUGAACCUCUAUUCAGUGGCUUUAUCAAGAGCCACUGAUCAAGGACCUUUUUUAUCUCUAUGCGAACAGCCUUCUUAGCCUUCCAAUUUUGAGGUCCAUUCAAGUCAAGCAAUUCACUUUUGUUUUGGUUCAGCAGUUGGAGAAUUGCUGUAUUUCCGAUCAUCAUAUUCAUCCCACUGGAUUGUAAGGAUAUCUUUCAUGUUUAGUAUUCUCUAAGUCAGAGAAAUUUUAAAAUUUAGAUCCCCAAAAUGAUAGUCUGCUCCACUGAUCACAUGUAUCUAUGUAUUAGUUUUCUAUUGCUGCAUAAAAAAAUGAACACAAACUUAGCAACUUAAAACACAUAUUUAGUAUCUUACCAUUUCCAGGGGUCAGAAUCUGGGUGCGGCUGGUCUGGGUCACCUGCUCAGAGUUUCAAGGGGUUUCUCAGGUUUCACCAUCAUCUGGAGGAUUAACUGGAGAAGAAUCUGCUCUCAAGUUCCUUCAGGGACUUGGCAGGAUUCAUUGUCUUCAGGUAGUAUGCCUGAAGACUUUCGGCUUUUCACUGGAGUCUGCUGGAGGCUGCCCUCAGGCCCUAGACAUCACCGGCAGUUCCUACCCACUCAGGCUUCUCCAACACUGGCCUUUACUUUCCCAGGCCCACAACAGUGAAUGUUAGUCCUGUUGCUAAGCUACAGUCUUCCAGAACAUAAUCAAAGAAGUGGCUUCCAUCACCUUUGUCAUCAUCUAUCGGUUAGAAGCAAGUCACAGGUCUUGCCCACACUCAGUGAGAGGGAUUACAUGAAUGUGUGACCACCAGGAGAUGGUAACAAUUGGGGUCAUGAGGGGAUAUGACUGCUACAAUCUCCCAUCAUCAAAAACAAAAACAGGAAUCUACACUCGGCUGGGAAGUGAGAGACUCAAAACAACGUGAGAAGUAGAAAGCGGGCAAGUUUGUUGGGGCCAUAUGUAACUUCAUGAAUAUCACUGUUUCAAGGACUAAGUUAUAAGUUUUACCCUUUUCAGAUAAGGAAAACAGAGUGUGAGUGGGGUUAGAAAGAGGAAAAACAGCAAGCCAAGUUGAAUCACUCAUCCUGAGAGGCAUUCAAAUACAGAGUUAUGGAGAAAGCGACUUUCCUCCACAAGGGUAAACCCCUCAACAGCAGCUGGUAAACCUCAGUCCACAGCGCAGAGUGUGAGAAAGGGAAGAUUUCAAACAACUUAAAUACAAAGAAAACACUUUUUUAAAACAUUAGUGAUUCUUUUCCACAUUUCCCUUUAGGCUCUAUUCAUACGGAAAAUAUUCCGCUACACCUCACAGCAAUAUAUCUUAUUUUUUUUAAUAUGCAGCAACCGUCAGCCAACUCAUAGCUGAAGCAGGGACACUGUGCAGCUCUUGGAGCUUGUUCUUAGUAUGUGUUCAGAGGGCUAAUACUCUGUCAAGCAGGGCGGAUGAUAGCCAGAGCAAACAGCCACGGUCCCCACGGUGGAAAAUAACGUUGCCAGAAAAUUCCGCACAUCUGGAAAGAACAGCAAUGAACAGGAACUUGUGCAUUCGUGCUAGGCUCCUACUGGGCCCGCUUCGUUUCAUUUCCUCCAUUUUUAUGACACUUUCCCAUGCUGCUACUCCAGACAUUCCAUCAAACACCUCGCCACGAACAAAUUGAAAGGGAAGGAAAUCUAAAGAAAGUCUGACUGAAUUUCUGAGUGUCUCAUCACUAGAAUGACCAGGAAAACCUGCCAGGAGUGUAGAUUCAGGCCCCUAAUCCCACUUCUCUGCAGUCUCCUCUUGGUCUCUGUGUAUAAGCUCUCCUGCCUUUUUGCACCUCUAAUCCAUUGUCAGACAAACUGGCCUACUUGUGUUUGCCUCUGAGAGCCUGUCCACUUCCUCACGUUAGGAGAAAGAACACAAAGAAUCCUAGCUUUGAUUCAGUUUUCCAUACUUCAGCCAUCAGUCUACCAUCAAGCACAUUUUUUACUGGGCAAAUGAAAAGUCAUUGCUUUCAAUUUUUUUUUUUUUUUUUUAGACUGAAUCUCACCUGUCACCCAGGCUGGAGUGCAGUGGCACAAUCUCGGCUCACUGCAACCUCUGCCUCCCAGGUUCUAGCAAUUCUCCUGCCUCAGCCUCCCAAGUGGCUGGGAUUGCAGGUGCCCACCACCAUGUCCAGCUAAUUUUUUUGUAUUUUGAGUAGAGACGGGGUUUCACCAUGUUGACUAGGCUGGUUUUAAACUCCUGACCUCAAAUGAUCCACCCACCUCAGCCUCCCAAAGUACUAGGAUAAUAGGUGUGAGCCACAGCACCCCGCCAAUAUUUUUGUUUCUAAUAAAACAAGAACUAGUAGUGCACUCCGUCUAGAGCAAGAUAGUGUGGUGGGGACAGGGAGCAAGUAGGUAGGGGAUAAAUAGGUCAAGAACUGAAUUCACAAUUGAGGCUUUAAGCUUGAUAAGAAAUAAAGCAAGUUUGAAUCAUCUGGGUCCCUGGGGAAGCAUUUGUUUAGAAAAAGAUCAAUAGUAAAUAAAAAUACCACGCACCUAGUUUCCAGGUAUUGAUUUAUCUAAAAGGGACCUGGCUUUCACAUAUUUACGAUAUGCAAGUGCAUUUCAAAGCUUUGCCUGACAGCUGGAUGCAAGCUGGGUGAGGCUGUAGGGGUGACAGUGUCAUCACAUGUGAGAGAGGCUGUGGGGGUGCAGGUGUCAUCACAUGUGAGAGAGGCUGUGGGGGUGACAGUGUCAUCACAUGUGAGAGAGGCUGUGGGGGUGACAGUGUCAUCAUAUGUGAGAGGCUGUGGGGGUGACAGUGUCAUCACAUGUGAGAGAGGCUGUGGGGGUGACAGUGUCAUCACAUGUGAGAGAGGCUGUGGGGGUGACAGUGUCAUCACAUGUGAGAGAGGCUGUGGGGGUGACAGUGUCAUCACAUGUGAGAGAGGCUGUGGGGGUGACAGUGUCAUCACAUGUGUGAGAGGCUGUGGGGGUUCAGGUGUCAUCACAUGUGAGAGAGGCUGUGGGGGUGACAGUGUCAUCACAUGUGAGAGAGGCUGUGGGGGUGACAGUGUCAUCACAUGUGAGAGAGGCUGUGGGGGUUCAGGUGCCACCACAUGGGAGACAGGCUGUGGGGGUGACAGUGUCAUCACAUGUGAGAGAGGCUGUGGGGGUGACAGUGUCAUCACAUGUGAGAGAGGCUGUGGGGGUGACAGUGUCAUCACAUGUGUGAGAGGCUGUGGGGGUUCAGGUGUCAUCACAUGUGAGAGAGGCUGUGGGGGUGACAGUGUCAUCACAUGUGAGAGAGGCUGUGGGGGUUCAGGUGCCACCACAUGGGAGACAGGCUGUGGGGGUGCUGGGUACCACCACAUGUGAGAAUACAGAAAACACAAAGCCGUCAGCUACGGAGAAUUAAAAUCAAAUUCGC